CCUACGGGUGGCUGCAGUGAGGAAUAUUGGUCAAUGGGCGCGAGCCUGAACCAGCCAAGUAGCGUGAAGGAUGACUGCCCUACGGGUUGUAAACUUCUUUUAUAAAGGAAUAAAGUGAGGCACGUGUGCCUUUUUGUAUGUACUUUAUGAAUAAGGAUCGGCUAACUCCGUGCCAGCAGCCGCGGUAAUACGGAGGAUCCGAGCGUUAUCCGGAUUUAUUGGGUUUAAAGGGAGCGUAGAUGGGUUGUUAAGUCAGUUGUGAAAGUUUGCGGCUCAACCGUAAAAUUGCAAUUGAUACUGGCAGCCUUGAGUACAGUUGAGGUAGGCGGAAUUCGUGGUGUAGCGGUGAAAUGCUUAGAUAUCACGAGGAACCCCGAUUGCGAAGGCAGCCUGCCGGGGUGCGACUGACGCUGAGGCUCGAAGGUGCGGGUAUCAAACAGGAUUAGAUACCCUGGUAGUC
This 460-nucleotide ribosomal RNA is filed under the name uncultured bacterium. RNAcentral's name for it is "partial 16S ribosomal RNA". It matches the Rfam family "Bacterial small subunit ribosomal RNA", at positions 338 to 795 of the family's 1533-position model. The record is from RNAcentral.